Molecule: ribosomal RNA, 436 nt
Filed under: uncultured Roseovarius sp.
Lineage: Bacteria; Pseudomonadati; Pseudomonadota; Alphaproteobacteria; Rhodobacterales; Roseobacteraceae
Description: bacterial SSU rRNA
Rfam family: Bacterial small subunit ribosomal RNA
Source: RNAcentral
CGGGCGGCUGCAGUGGGGAAUCUUAGACAAUGGGCGCAAGCCUGAUCUAGCCAUGCCGCGUGAGUGACGAAGGCCUUAGGGUCGUAAAGCUCUUUCGCCUGUGAUGAUAAUGACAGUAGCAGGUAAAGAAACCCCGGCUAACUCCGUGCCAGCAGCCGCGGUAAUACGGAGGGGGUUAGCGUUGUUCGGAAUUACUGGGCGUAAAGCGCACGUAGGCGGAUUGGAAAGUAUGGGGUGAAAUCCCAGGGCUCAACCCUGGAACGGCCUCAUAAACUCCCAGUCUGGAGUUCGAGAGAGGUGAGUGGAAUUCCGAGUGUAGAGGUGAAAUUCGUAGAUAUUCGGAGGAACACCAGUGGCGAAGGCGGCUCACUGGCUCGAUACUGACGCUGAGGUGCGAAAGUGUGGGGAGCAAACAGGAUUAGAUACCCCAGUAGUC